This 89-nucleotide transfer RNA is filed under the name Micromonospora humi. Its description in RNAcentral is "tRNA_Pseudo_CGA". It matches the Rfam family "tRNA". From Rfam's summary of the family: Transfer RNA (tRNA) molecules are approximately 80 nucleotides in length. Their secondary structure includes four short double-helical elements and three loops (D, anti-codon, and T loops). Further hydrogen bonds mediate the characteristic L-shaped molecular structure. tRNAs have two regions of fundamental functional importance: the anti-codon, which is responsible for specific mRNA codon recognition, and the 3' end, to which the tRNAs corresponding amino acid is attached (by aminoacyl-tRNA synthetases). tRNAs cope with the degeneracy of the genetic code in two manners: having more than one tRNA (with a specific anti-codon) for a particular amino acid; and 'wobble' base-pairing, i.e. permitting non-standard base-pairing at the 3rd anti-codon position. The record is from RNAcentral. Lineage: Bacteria; Bacillati; Actinomycetota; Actinomycetes; Micromonosporales; Micromonosporaceae. RNAcentral also lists the same sequence under 3 other names.
GGUGAGGCCACCCGAUAGGUGACGGGCGCCGCCUCGAAAGCGGACAGGGUCGCAAGGCCUUGGGGGUUCGACUCCCUCCCUCACCGCCA